This 1512-nucleotide long non-coding RNA is filed under the name Marmota monax (woodchuck). The record is from RNAcentral. Lineage: Eukaryota; Metazoa; Chordata; Mammalia; Rodentia; Sciuridae.
GCUGCUUCUGACAAACUAUUUGUAGGAAAAUGAGAUUUGGUCGGUGCUGGAUGGCUCCUCUGGGAGGCAGGCGUGGGGGUCGGUGUCGGAGUCCCCGUGCGGGCCCUGCCGGAGCCCACCGCGCUUACGGAGCUCUUUAAGAUAAAUGAGCAAAAUUAAGAGACUCACUGGGGGAAGGAAGCCCUGGAUGGCGGCGCGAGAGCGGAUGGCGCACGCUUCCUCCCGGGAAGGCAUCCACGUGCACCCCGCGGGGCCGCCCCAUCUGCCGCGGACUCCGGGGACGCCGGCCCCAGAAGAGCCUCGAGCAGGGCGCGGCGCUCCCUGCCCCCGACGGGCGCGACCAGGGCAGAGACCUCGAGUAAGGCGCACGCAACAGAUGGGUGGCGCAGCAGGUCCUGGAGGUGGCCUGCAGGAGGCCGCACUGCGCAGGCGGUUGGGAAGGCUGAGCGCCCAGUGGGUGGGGGUCCAGGGCGUGGCGGAGGGAGGGUGGACGCCGGGCAGCCCGGUCCCCGAGGCCAGACUGCUUUAGCUUCCCUGGUCCCGUGGGACCGCGGUAGAUCUCGAACCCACUUGCAGGCUCCCCAGGGGUUCAGGAGGCAGCACCGACUCCAGCCUGGGCUCAGGAAGCCUCAGGCCCUGCUCAGCCCAGGUUGAACUCCUCUGACAAUUCUGAAGUUCACAGAGAUGAGCAAACCGAAGAAAAUAAAGGGGUUGGAGUGCAGCUCAGGAGUAGAGUCGUCCUCAGCAUGCCCGAGGCCCUGGGUUCCAUCCCCAGUACUGUAUAAAGAAAAAAAAAUCACCUGUUAUUCUGCUGCUGAUAUCUUGAUAUUUAUUCUAAGUCUCAAAAGACAUAUAUAUUUAAAGUCAUGAUCAUAUUAUAAACAUUUUGAUAUGUUUUAGUUUCUUGGCAUUAUAUUGUAAAUACCUUUUACAAAUCAUUUUAAAUACUUCUUUGAAAACAAUUUUAAAUAAGUGUGGCAUUUUAUUGUUAUAUGUUCCACAAAUUAUUUUUAACAAGGCACAUAUUUUGUUCAUCUUGAUUGUUUCUAAAAUUUUGCUAUAAUAAAGAUGUGUAAACUUAGCCUUUGCCAAAUCAUUCCAUUUUCAUCACAGUCAGUGACAUAAACAGUGAUUUCUGCUUCUCCCUGGCUUCCUAAGGAUAAGAUGUGGCAUUUUGAAUAGAGUAGUUGACAAUCUGAAUUCCAAGCCUGGACCAGCCUUUCUAGAACUUUGUAUGCUUUCAAAGACCUCCCUGAUCUGCAAGAUCGGCAAUCUGAGAAUGUUCUGGAAGUAAAGGAUGUGCUUUGAGAAUGAAAAGAGAUAGUCUUUGAAGAAAAUGGUUACUCAUUUUGAUUCUUUGUAAGACAUUUACACCUAAAAUGUGUGCCAAAUUGUAAGAAAAGGUGGUCUUGCCUCUGACUGGUGUCAUGUUCUGUGGUGACGCUGAUUUCAGAGAGUAUUAAAAUGGGAAACUUGAAAGUGGUGGGAUCAUGGCAAAAUUUCAGUAUGAAG